GUAGGUGGCAAGCGUUGUCCGGAAUUAUUGGGCGUAAAGCGCGCGCAGGCGGUUCUUUAAGUCUGAUGUGAAAGCCCACGGCUCAACCGUGGAGGGUCAUUGGAAACUGGAGAACUUGAGUACAGAAGGGGAAAGCGGAAUUCCACGUGUAGCGGUGAAAUGCGUAGAGAUGUGGAGGAACACCAGUGGCGAAGGCGGCUUUCUGGUCUGUAACUGACGCUGAGGCGCGAAAGCGUGGGGAGCAAACAGGGACUAGAUACCCUGGUAGUCCACGCCGUAAACGAUGAGUGCUAAGUGUUAGGGGGGUUUCCGCCCCCUUAGUGCUGCAGCUAACGCAUUAAGCACCCCCGCCUGGGGAGUACGGCCGCAAGGCUG
This 375-nucleotide ribosomal RNA is filed under the name uncultured organism. RNAcentral describes it as "partial 16S ribosomal RNA". It matches the Rfam family "Bacterial small subunit ribosomal RNA", at positions 527 to 896 of the family's 1533-position model. The record is from RNAcentral.